AAAUUAGCAAAGAGCACACAUUAUUUCCAUUAACCUAGAACUGUGCGCGCAUUACAAAUUUAAUUUCAAAGAAAAAAGCAGCAUACAUUUAUUAUAAAUUAUAAUAAUCUGCUUCACCCUUGAGAUUGGAGUAGCGAUAUUAAAGGCUCUCACGAGAGAGAGAGAGAGCAGGAAACUGGAACAUGCCAAAGGAUAGAAGUUGCCCUAUAAGACAAGAAGGCCCACCACAUUCAAUCAAGCCCGGCCCGGCCCGGCCCGGCCGUCCAUGAUCCAUGCAGCUUCUCCCUCUCCGCCGCGGCAGGCGAUUCGACCUCGGCGGCGGCCAUGGUGGUGGUGGGCGAAGAUUAAGAGAGUUUGAUGAAGAAAGUUGGUGUGCGUGUUAUAAGGAAGAGGGAUUGGGAAUGAGGUCGUGGGAGCAAUAAAAGAACGAGGUGACUAACUACCUUUUUCAAAAAGGAAGUGAUUUGAGGUAUCUUCCAUCGGAUAUGCCAUUAUGUUGGCAUCUCAAUAUUCACACACACACACACACUUGUAAUCUAAUUCUCUUAUUAAUUUCCCACUUAUUUUAUUAAUGUUGCUCACUUUGAUCAAUUUCCUGCUGCCGUACAUGCACUGCCUUUCCUUUCCUUUUUUACUUUUCUUUUUUUCUUUUUUUCUUUGUUUAACAGCGGAUUAAAGGCUGAAGAAGUAUGUCACCACCACUUUUCAUUUAAUAUUUAUAUUUUAUAUAUAUGGGGCGUUAUAAGGGGUUGUGUUUAUUGUACUGCAUAGCUUAGUGAGUCUUGUACUAUAUACAUAUAUGUAUAUAAUAUAUAUCGCGUUUUCUUUUUCUUUCCGUUUUGAUCUGACUGAGAUUUCAAGUUCAUGGCUAGUGACAUAAGCUGAGAAUCGGAUUAUUCUUUUAUGCUUCAUUGAUUACUACUUACUUCUUAAAGCAAACAGAUUUUGGCCUUUAAUUAGUUGUAGAUUAGUCAGAACCAAUGGCAUAUAAAGUUGACUUUCCUUGUUUUAUUUAAUUAAAAGGCUAGGUGAUCUAUCAUCAAGCGCAUAAGACUUAUGUGAUCCAUCACAUUUAUUUUAAAUAAUUAUACUGAUUUUACAAGUUAAAAGUUAAAAGUUAGAAGUUGUUAACUUAAUCUUGGUUAAGUACCUGAUUUUACAGUGAUCAAUGUAGAACAAAUUACAUGUGUAGAAACAAAAGGAAACAUGUUCUUGAAGGUGCAACUUGCUAGAUCAUUUAUUCUGUGUCUGUGAUGUGUAUACAAUACACCUCUCUGUGACAGCAUAGCUUAUUAGUCCUAAUAUGCAGAAGCAGAUUUGCUGGCGCAUUUACUACUUAAUUAACAAGUUAAGAGAAAAGAGCAAUACUAAGACUGAUGAGAAGUUGUUGCAUACUUGUAUAUAUAGGUAGGGAAGUCAUGAGAACCACCUGUUUCCAGUCCUGGUUGCUCUAAGCUUCAUGACAAGAUCCUCACGUUGGCCCUCCACUUCCGCGUACUUAAGACUCAUCUCUAGGUAGCGCUCCCUCAGGUCCCGUAGCUCUGUCUCCAGUGACGACUUUGUUCUUUCAUACCUCUCUCUUGCCACCAUAGAACCAUUCUUUUUCUGCCUGCACAAAUAUUUGAUCAAUCAUAUAUCAAGUGGUAAAGCUGCAUUAACCUCUAGCAUGCAUGUUGAUUUGAUCAAUUCUAGACUUGUUAUUCGUAUUCUCACCUCUCAGCAAAUCCAUUCUCGAGAUUAUGAGCUCCCUGAAAGAGAGAAAGAGCGAUAGUUAGUGAUAUUAUUGAAGGCUGCAAGAAAAGAAAAAGUGAUAAUAUACGCACCUCAUUGUGAAGGUUAUUUCUCUCCUCCAUCAGUUUUAGAUUAUCUUCAAGGGCUUGCACUUUCUUCAAGCACUCGUCUUUCUCCACCUCGAGUCCGUACAUCUUCUGCUGAAACUGCACGUUCAAUCUUUUCAUCUCAGUCACCUCGUGUUUAAGAUCCUCAUUUUGGAUGCAUAUAAUCUCUUUUUCACUCAAAUCCUUUUCCAUUUGCUGAAGCUUUUCUUCUAGGUAUGACUUGUUCCUUUUGUGUUCCUCCAACUCAGACAUGGCAUCCUCAAAGAAGGAGAUUUUCUCAGACAAUGAAAUCUUCUCCCCUUCAGUUCCUCAUAAUCCCCUGAAAUAGCAUGCAACGGAGCUCCAGUUUUCCCUUAUCGAGCUUGAAUUCUUUGAGCUUGCUUUUUAAGACUGAGACUUCAUCCUCAAGGUCAGACAUGCUUUGCAACUGAACCUUCAAACUGCUCAUUUCUCUGGUAAGCUGCUGGCGCUCGCACUCAGAGAUGGUAUGCUUCAAUUCAAUGUCAUUCAAGUCCGUCUUGAGUUUUUCUUCGAUUUUCCUGUAAUUUGCCACUAAUUUGAUAUUUCUCUCAUAGUCAGCCGUAAAUCUAUCAAGACUUUGAUUAGAAGCAGCUAGUUGAUCUGUCAAUUCUUGAACUUUCAACUCAGAUUCUUGCAGGGCUGCAUUGAGUUUUUCCUUGGUAGAUUCAGCUUCCCAUUGAACUUCUUGAAGGGAAGCUUGCAGCUCAGCCUUUUCUGCUAGCAAACUAGAAACUUCACCGGAAACCUUAAUGCGAAUUCUUUCCCUCUCUUCAUGAGCAUCGGAUAGUUGCUUGCUGAGGCAUUCCACCUCUUUCUGAAGGCUCAGAAACUCCAUUGUCUUCUCCAAGAGUAACUGCUGCAAACUCUCCUCUUCAGCAAGUUUCUCUUUCUGGUAGCUGUUUUCUUUGACAAGUACAUCUAAUUCUGAUUUGAGAUGGCUCUCUCUCAGCACGAAGUCUUCUUGCACUGAGGCGAGAUGGCCCUGCAGAGACUCGACCUUUUUAGUGCAAUCAGACAAGCAUUUCUCCAUUUCACUCAGUUGGUCCACCAGUUCCAAACAUUUUUCAUUCAGUUCUUGGUUUUCCCUCUUCAUUUCCGAGUUCAAAUUCUGAUGUUCCAUAGUUUCAAGUACAGCACUAGCGGCAGACGCCUGCAACGACUUGUUUUCUUCUCUAAGGUACACACACUCUUCUUGAGCUCCUAACCACUGUUUCCUUAAAUCUUCUGAUUUUCGUUUGAGAUCCAAUAUUUGAACGUCCGUUUCAUCUUUGAGUUUGCGGAUCUCAUCUUGGAGACUAGUUACACUAGAUUUGUAAUUCUCCAAUUCCUGCAAACACACCCUCUUUUCAUCUCUAAGUUGAUGCAGUUGAGCUUCCUGAUCAGAAAUGUACUCCUGCAACCGCGUGUUUUCUUCUUGCAAUCCCGAUAAACUGUUCUCUAAUUUAUGACUUUUUAUUUUUAGCUGCUUUAUGUUUCUUUCAAGAUCAGUGUUAGCAGAAACAUGGGAACUUACAGCAUCUCUAAGAGCUGUGACAUCACUUUGAAGAUUCUUCAUGCAUUCUGAGGAGAUCUUCCUCUCUCUCAAUGCCACUUCUAAAUCAUGCUCCAAACGGCUCGUUUUCUGUUGAAGUUCGGAAACUUCUGCUUCUAAUUCCUGUCGUUGCUGUAAAAGAAUGCCGGUCUCCUUUCCCUUUGACAGAAGAUCAGCCUCCAUAUAACCAAUCUCAGAUCUUUUCUGUUCCAAUUCCCUCAUCAGUUUUGCACUAUUCUCCUCACUUUUGGUCUUCAUUUUUCCAAGUUCUUCAACUUCCAAAAUUCUCUCUUCCAUUUUCUUUCUAGCCUCAGAUAUAGUGGCAUUUCUACCAUUGAUCUCAAUCUCAUGAUUCCUAAGAAUUUCAUCAGACUCAGCAAUCCUCGUUUCCAAGAGCUCGUUGAGCUCCAGCAAGAGGCUAUGGAUAGAUUCCACCGACAUUCUAGUAGUGCUAACCUUGUCCGAAAUCAUGAGACCGUGAAGAUAAUCGCGGCCAUUCUUAGACCUUCCAUACCAAGGCUUCAUCAGAAGGUGGAAAGCUAUAUCCAUUUGUUCUAAAAUUUCAGCAAAAUGCAGAGAGCUUUCAACGCCAGCAAUCUGCACCUCCUCACUCACCUCCUUCUUGAGCUCUUCUUCAUCCAUGUUGGAAACUUGAUAUCUAGGGUCACUUACUUCAGACUCCUCACUAGGACAAGACGCCGGAUUCCCACUUGUGAUCGAGUCAAACGACGGGCAUUUUCUGAUGUCAGUCUUAUUCGAAUCCUUGAGCUUGAACAAGAGUUCAAGAUUUUCAUCAGUGAGCUCAGUGCAGUCCUUCUCCAACUCCCUGACUUUCUCUCUCAAGGAUUCUAUCUCUCUGAUAAGAUCCACAUCCUUUUCAGCACUCCCUUUCAACUCCUCAUCUUUGAUGUAAUCUGAUAGCUUCGCUUCCAAACUGGCAAUCUCUUUCUCUUUGGCUAAAAUUUUGCAAUAAUAUUCCCCUUCCACUUGUGACAGAAUCCUUCUGUUUGAUUCCCUUUCCUUCUCCAACUCACCAGUUUUAUCCCGUAAAGCUUCAUCGAGCAACUGAAUAUCAGAUUUCAGCUUCUUCUCUGACUCCCGGAGUUGCUCCAGCUGCAGCAACAAAGUCCUGUUUUCCUCUGAACUUUGAUCCAAAGAAUUCUGUAAAUCUGCAAAGUUCAACUUGAGGGAUGAAAGUUUCUCCAUCUCAAUCCUCUGUUGUUCUAUUGUUUCCUCGAGCUCUUGAAGAACAGAAACAAGCUCAAUAUUCGAUUCUUGGCUUUGUUUCAGUUGUUGGCACAAAUCAUAAUUCAAAUCUUGUUGGUACUUAAUCUCACUCUCCAGCUCCUUUUGCAGACUCUGAGACUGAAUGAUGGGAGUUUUUCUGUUAGCCUCAUUCUUGGCCAACUGUUGCAACUCUUCCAUCACUGUCUUCACUUGCCUCCUUAAGCCAUCCUGCUCUGCAUACGCGGCUGAGAGCUCCACUUCCGAUUCUGCUUGCUUCUUUGACAGAUCGGAGAACUCCUUCCUCGAUAUAUCCACAUCAAUCAUCAGCUUCCUAGCGUUUCUCUCCCACAUUUUGGCUUCUGCUCUGAGUUCCUCAAUCGUGUCUUCUGCAGCUUCCAGAAGAUUCCUUGAAGAACCUACAUUCGACAUUGACCACCUGCUCCCUGCUGCUUCGUUAUGGAAAUUCUCUCUUAAGUGCAUAGGUGAUUGGUUUGAUGGUGAAUCAUCAUAACCACCACCACCAUCAUCAUCAUCAACGAGUAAAAUUCAGGUAGUAGACCACCGCCGUAGCUUCCCCUGCCUCGUCUCUCAUGAGACCUAUAUUCAUCACUCCUCGAAUCUUUCUCUACAAAUGAGUUUUCCCUCUCGUAGGAUCCCUCCAUAGAGCUGAUGCUGUUUAUCACAACAGUUGCUGAUUCACUUGCUUCCUGCUGAGAAAUCAUGAUGCAACCUUUUGUUAAAUCAACACACAAAAUGGACAAACAUUAACAAAAUGAGAGUUUCGAAAGACCUCAGUGUCUAAUUGCAGUGGACGAGAGGAGGUGGCCGGAUCUUCACUUGAAUUAUCUGAUCUACGUGACUUGCUCCCCGCGCCAAAAUGAUCCACAUCCUCGACUUUUUCCUGAGAAUCGGAGUUCUUGGAUUCCUCGUCUCUGGAAGACCAAAACAAUGUCAGCUGGAUGUUCUAAAGUCCAGAACCAAGAAAUCAGAAUCCGUCAUAAAAACACCAACCUGAUUCUUGAUCUAGGUAGAUUUACGCGUUGAAUUUUGACCUGAAAACCAUAUAAACAGUCACUGCAACGCUGUCAAUUACAUGGGUAGAUAUGAUUUUUAAUAACAUAUUGAAGCAUUGACACAAAUACUGGACCUGAAAAAUUGUGCCAUAGCUGCAUUUCUUAAGAGGCUGUGAAACUGCAGCAGAGGCCCUUGAACUGGUAUGUUGUGCCAUAUUGAUAAUUGCUUCUCCAAGGGUGUUAGCAGAUCUUGUUGAGCCCUGAAACACAUUUCCAUAAUCAUUCUCCACCACACUAACUACGUAAUCUCGAGUAGAAUCUGAAAACGGUACCGUUGAAACAACAAACUUGACGAGGCAUUCUUCGUAGGAUUUAGAAGAAUCAUAUCUCAAAAUGUAGAUAGAUUCGGAUACUGUCUCGGACCAGAGGCAACUGCCAUUCUUAACAAGUGCCUUCCCCAAUUUGGCUAUUGUCUUCCCAGUUUCUGCAGAAACCAGAGACACAAAAAGCCUGUCCCAUCCCUUUGGCACCUGCAGAAUCAAAAUUAAACUGAAAUAAUUAACUCAAAGAAAAGUGUGGUGUUUUAUGUUGAGAUUCUUCGCCAAUACAAACGUGCAUGUGCCAUAUUGUUUUUCAGGAUUUGAAGUUGUAAUACAGUAAGUGAUCGAUACAGAUGAAGAAAAGCAAAUAGAACUGAAAAACAUGAUCGAUGAAAUCACAUAUGCACCUGAAGUGCUUGAAAACUGGAGAACUUGAAAUCAAAUCUGUCUCUAAUUUGUUUGGAUGAUGAUCUGUUGGUUGGCCUCUGCAUCUUCAACAUUGUGUCUCACUGUGGGCUACAGUGCAUUGAAGAUAUCUUGUAAAGUGAGGAUUGGUAGUGUUGUAGUGAUAGAAACAAUGCAGUUAGCUGGCUAGUCAUUGUUCUCAACCUAUAUGUAUGUUAGAAAUGAAUAGUGAGUAGUUCAUCCUUUGGAUUUCACGUGCUCAUAUAUGCCAUUGUUUCUUCACCACUCAACUUCCAACUUCCAUGCUUCAACCAAAAUUCACUAAAAGUUAAACACCACUUGCCUCAAUCAAAUGCGAGAAUACUAGGACUAUUAUUUCAUUUAUGUUUUCCAAUUCUCACUCUACAUGUGCUAUUAAUAUUCAUCAUGCAGUGGGCGUAUCGUGCGCGCUCGCUUUAAUUUAAUUUCCACACAAAAAUAUACGUAAGAAGAAAAAAGUAAUAUUAUUAUUAGAAUGCUAAUUUCUUUUUCUUGAGUUGGGGGAAUUGGAGAUUAGAUCUCAAAUAAUUUCCCUCAUAAUAGGCAACUAAAGACUCUACUAUUAAUUAAGCCCUCCUAAUCCAUAGAGUUUAAGGGCUUAUAAUUUGAAAGACUGUGAAUUCCAAUCCACCAACUCUUCUUAGACUAACAUAAUAGAUAACUCGUCUAAUUCGAUUUAUUAAUGUGCGAUUUAAAGGUAAUUGUAUAGAAAGUGAAUAGUGAAAACGAGGUUUUACUAGUACUACCGUGUUAGGAGUUGGGCUAUGAGAUUAAUAUAUUCAUAGCUAAUGCUUAGAAAGAAAGUCUAGCUAGUAGUUCACCUAUUUGUGUAGUUAUAUUACGUCUGUCAAAGAUCAACUGUUGAAUAAUGACUUGACGCUAUUGAUUUUUUCUUUCUUGUUGUUGAAAGUCUAAACUAUAUAUAUUUAUAUAAGUCAAUCCGUGUCUCCAGAUCUAGAUCUUAAUAGAGUUUAAUUGAUAAAUGAGUUGUUUUAGAAUAAAUAGUGUUUAUGAUUCAUCGUCCGAGAACUUAUAUUUUAAGUUCAAAGAUCACAUGAAUUAAGAAUUAAAUACUUAAAUUGUUACUAUUUUGCUAAAAAUACUUUAUAAUCUAUUAUCCAAGAAUAAGUCGUUUAUUUUCAUUAUGGUAUAAAGUCAACUUCAUUAGAGUUUUAUGCUACUAAGUAACAUAUUAAAUAUUUAUUGAUUAUUUUAAGGGAGAAUUUAAUAAAUUUGAUAUCACUUGACUUUCAAAUCUAAAUACUCAUCAAAUUUGAUUGUUAUUUGAUUCUUUGUUUAAAAACUUCAAUAAAAUUCUCAUAAAUGCACUUUAAAGUCCACAGUAAAUCAAGACCAACUCUCAAUUGUAUCAAUUCGCAUUUGAACCAACUUAUGAGAAGUAAGGUCGUAUAUUUAAAUUUUAUUUCCCGCUCCUUUCACUUAGAUUUGAAUUGCACAAAAAUUAUAAAAAGAUGUGUAUAUAUUCAAAAUCAUCCUCGUGAAGAAAAAAAGAGAGAGAUUAUUUAGCUUCAAGGUCAUAAUUAAGGGAAUAUAUACGGAUCAUGCAUAAAAGGGGAGGAGGAUACAUUAAUUUUUAUUUUAUUUUUUUUGAGAGGGAGGAUACAUUAAUUUACCCAAGUUAAAAACUAAUUUGUUUUCUUUGUUUUUAAUAAUUUCACAGCUUAUUUACCUUGGGAGUUUCACAAUCUGCAGUCUCAUCGUUUUUAUAGUUUAAUAUAAGGUCGAUUGAUCGAUGAUUUCAAUAAGAGGAUUAUUUUUUUAAGUUGAUAGUUACACAAUGAACAACAAUACAUAAUAUACUUGUCCCAUGUUUGGUAUUAUAAAAUACAAUAUUAUUAUAAAAUUAAAAAACACACUCCCUCUGUCUACGAAAUGAAUACUCGUAUUUCCUUUUUAGUCUGUCCACCAAAUAAAUAUCCAUUUUCUUUUUUGGUAAGUGUACCCCACACUACUUACUCACAAUAAAAAUGGGUCCCUUAUUCCACUCACACACUUAAUCAAUUUCUAAGAAUCCGUGCCACCUCGUGGACGGAGGGAGUAUAAUUCUUGAUUAUUGACACAUCUUUAAAAUUGUAAUCCGAUGCUAAUAAUAUUUGUGUGGAUUGCGUUGCACAAGAAUUGAAGGUAGUUACUAGUAGUUAGUUGGGUGAUAAAUGAUUGUUACUUGAAGUUGAGGAGCAAUAUGAACUAACGCAACAACUCGGUUUUAUGCUAUAUACCAACUCCGGUUUAUGGUAUCCAACUAUUCUGCUCCAAGAUAACAAUAUCUAGGAGAUAACAAUAUUUAGGGUAAAGUAAAUAGUUAGCCACAAAUUCAUAAUGUAUAAUUAUUGAGAUGACCUAGUGGUGGAAUGUAAACGACAACACUUUCUCUUUCUCCACUCUUGUAAUAUCAAGCUUUCUUGAGGCAGUCUAUUUGUGCAAUGCAGGCAACACUACUUUUCUUUGUGUCACUCUCACAACAACCUCUAUGUCGAGCUAUUUAUAGCAGAAAUUCAAAAUAAAAAUUAAAAAACACAGCCCAACUACAACGACAUGAAAUUGAAAUGAACUAGAAGCUUAAAUUCAUCAACAAAUGCAGAAUUACAGUAGGGUAUUAUUUGAAAUACAUUACACACUAUAUGCAGCUUAGUCGAGAAGCAGCGACGUAGAAUUGAAGAAGUGAAAACUGAUUGUGGAUUAUGCCAAAGCUAAUAAAUGCAACCAACUGAUAUCGCCUUGUAUAGAAAUCAUGAAUUGCAUGAGCUAACAUUCAGGGAUUUGCAGCAGCAGAGGCGAAUGCAGUUUGUCUUUGGCUCAAUUUCAUGUAUAGGCCCUGCAACAGAGUCAUGCUAUUUCAAUUACUGCAAAACAAGCCAAAUAUAUGGCAAGAGACCUCUCUCUCUCUCUCUCUUAGAAUAGCCAAUCACUCACUUUUAAAUAUUAUUAAAAUCAAUACUUUGCCAUCGACCACCAAAAUGAUUGCCUUAUGGAAAAGACUGAAAAUAGCACCUUAUAAUUAAGAAAUUAGGGGUUGAGAAAAAGAAUUACAUUUGUUGUGUGGAUAGUGGCUCCAGUAGUCAUGCCGAUAGUUUGGUCUGGGAUCAACUCAAAGCUCGCAUGCUGUAAAAGUACUGCAAGGGCUACAAUGGCUUCGAGUAAAGCAAAUUGAUCGCCCACACAUUUGCGUGGCCCUCCACUGAAUGGGAUAUAUCUGAAAUACUAGCAUUUGGAGAUGAAUUAGCUGCAAAACUAUUAAGAGUCACAAGAGAAACAAGUGAAGAUGGCGUGCAUGCCUAUAAUCUGUGUUCGCUUCAUUUGGAACUGGGCUAUCUAAGUCAAAUCUUUCUGGAACAAAAUCAUCAGCUCUUUCCCACACCUUCAAAAUACACAACAAGAAAGUUAAUUGCUUAAUGCUCCAGAAUAUAAGAUGCAAGAGAUGAACGCUCAUAUCUGUAUUGCACGAAGGAAUCAAAAGAACACAAUUUACAGCAGUCCGAAACACCUGCACCUCUCGAUCUAAAAUAGCCUAGCUUUACUGGGGAUGUAAGAGAUCACUAGAUUUAAAAGAAAUAAUUUGACCAUUCAGAGCUUCGAGUCAUACUAGCUUAGAAUAACUCAAAUCAGCUUCCAUAUCUAUCAGACUUUGAGUUGAUCCUUUUGGAAUCUGGUGAAAAGAUACCUCUGCAGAGCGAUGGAUAUUAUAGACUGAGAUCAUGAUAUCUUGACCAGGCGAGACCUUGUAGUUCCCAGGUAGCAAGUCAUCAACUUGAGCACGUCUUAACAAGACCUAAUGAAAUAUUUAUUCCAGAUCAAAACCAAGAACAAUAUUGUCAACGUGAGGGGGAGUUUGGCAGCUUACAGGUGGAUGAGGAUAAAGACGCAUUGAUUCAUUAAUGCAACGUGUCAAGAACUUGAGAUUCUUUAUGUCUUCAUAGGUAGGAAGCUGACCCUGUAAAACUCUGUCAACUUCAUCUUGUGCUUUUGCCAAAGAGGAUGGAUCCUGUAUUAGAAAACAUGUAAAGAACUACAUCAAUAACAAAAAAAANAAUACAAAAAAGUCUUAAGAGUUAUGAAUCCUAAAAAGGGUUGGAAGUGGAGAAGCUUCUGAAAUUGUAGUUAAGUUGGUGAAAACACGCUCACAAUACAGAAAAGAUGAACCAUUGGAAGGAGAUUAGUAACUGCACCUUGCUUAACAAAUAUGCUGUCCAAGUUAACACAGAACCGGUGGUCUCAUGGCCAGCAACUAACAUAGAUAGAAGGUCAUCUCUCAGCUGGGUACUUGAAACCUGGAACAAAAUACGAAAAAAAUUGCUAAAGCAACUUAUAGCAAACAGAUACACAAAUAAUUUGUUUGAUCAAAGAUUUCACUACCUCCUCUCUGCUGGCAAGUAAGAAGCGAAGAAUGCUUGGAUCUGUAGCAUUCACAUACUCCUCCUCAUUGAUCCUCUCACCCUCAGCUUCUACAAUCUCCCGGCACUUUGCUAUGAGCUCUUCAACAGUUUGCCUUAUUAUAGAAACCGCCUUUUCAGCUUUAAUUUGCCUUGGUAUUACUUUACAUAAAGCAUUAAUCUGAAAGGUGACAUAUACACAUAAAGGGAGAAGAAAAGUUAGCAUUUACUAUCUAAGUGAUACCACGGUUGGAAAGAGUCAAAGGAAUCACCUGCCUUCCAGUAUGGCAAUAGAUCAGUUGAACGGAGCUCUGCCUCUUUCAGUGCAGUAUAAACUGCAUCAAUAACUGGACUAUUGGUCGUGAGAGAAUCAAACUCAAAGUUAAAUAGAGCUAGUCCGAUAACAUCAAGAGUAAGCUGCGAGAAUUUUUCCUCCAUGUUUACGGCAGAGCCAUUGAGUAAAUUGGGCUUCAGCCUCUCAACCAACUGCUCAGCGCAUCUGCAAAAGACCCGUUCAACUAUUAUCGACAAGUACUUCUUGUGAAGGGAUGGAACCACGGCCCUGCGCCUUACCUAUAAUAAGCAUACUUUUAACCUCAAAACAUUACACGCGUAUAGUAAGAAUAAUAGAACUCAGAAUCAGGGACAUAUCAAUGUUUUAAAGUAUCAAGCUUCAUCAUGAUUCAUGUGCUGCUGUUACCAUUGAACAAACAAGAGGACUCGUAAAAUCUACUGUCAAAAGAUUUUCUCCAAAAACCAAUGGUUGCAAAAAAUUAGUGCUAGAGAAGGAGAGGAUCAAGUCUGUGUUACCACCUACAUGAUUGUCCAAAGAGUUAAAGCGAAUUAGAAAAAUGCUAUACUCAAAUCUCUUCCAAAACACCCGUAAUUUUUUGGAGAACAACAUAGCAAACACAUUGAAGGCAUUUCAAUUCGAAACAUAAACGAAAAUCCAAUUCAAUUCCCUUGAAGCCAAUAAGCAAGCAUAAAGAGAAAAACAGAAGCAAAAUUAGGGCGAAAUGUAAAGGAAAACAGAAGCAGAAUUACCGUCCAAAGAGAACCCUCAGCAAUGGCGAAACCGGAGCCAAACAAGAACUCAGAAACCUCAGCCACAAGGCCCUUGGAGUAAAUGGUGCCGUAAUUCCUCAAGACAUGCUUGGCAAUGGCGGGGUCGCUGACGACGACGAAGUUCCUGGGGCCCGCGGCGAGGCGGUAGAUGGGGCCGUACUCGUUCAUCCACUUGAAGAGCGGCAGGAAGAGGGCGCCGCCGAGAAGGUCCGACACGUCGUCCAGCUUGGCGCUGGCGACGGGUAUGUUGGAGUCGUCUUUGGGGCCUAAUGUUCCGAGUGACUUGGUGAGAGAGGUUAGCCAGUCCGGGCUCACCCAUGAAGUGGCCUUGGUAGUUGGCGGCGGUUUGCCGUUGGAGGAGUUCUUGAUGGAGAGUGAUGGAGCGGGGCAGCGCCGGAGGUGGCGAUGGUGGGUGAUGGGGGAUAAGGUGGAGAUGGAUAAUGUGGAUGACAUGAUGAUGAUGGCGGGUUACAAGUUAACCGUAAUUUUAUGUUUUUCCGGCCACCAUGUCCACACAUACAGAGCCUCUACUUGUGUACAUUAUUUAUGCUCAAUUAUUUCACUAGUUAUAGUAUAUGUAGAUUGACAUUAAUAAUUAGGGCAAAUUGCAUGAAAAUAUCUCACUUUAUACUAAAAUCUGGUUUUUUGACAAUCUUUUCAAUUGUAGCCAAUAUUUGAACUACUUUUCAAUUUGUUGCAAUUGACUUCCGGAGUAAUUUUCCGGCCAACUUAAUGCUGAUGUGGAUUCCCGUAAAGGUGAUGUGGCACGCCUCGCUGGCUUAUCAAACGACGACGUCUCUAAUUACCUUAAACGAUGUCGUUUUCCACGAUUUUAAGCAAAUUACAAUUUCUAGUUUUAUAUAUUUAUCGAUUAGGGCUUCAAAUGUCCUCAUUUCUUUUCCCAAAUCCUCUCAUCUCAGUUGAAAUUCUGGUUUGCAGCGAAAAUCUUUGAACUGACGGAUUCUUCUUCUCAAACGGGACGACUGAGCUCAUGCAAUUUCCCCUUACCUCCAAAAUUCUGCAAAUGCAAAGAACCAGAGUCGUGCAUCUUGCAGGCUUCAAAUAGCGUGACUAAUCUGGAGAGGCGCUACUACCACUGUCAUCGUCGUGGUCGUCAUGGUGAUUGCAAGUAUUGGGAAUGGGUUGAUCCCGUUCUACCGGAGUACUACAAGGAUUGCUUGUUGAAGAUGAAGCUUGAAAGGGACUUGGCGGUUGAAGAAUUAAUUCGACAGAGGGGAAAAAAGGCAGACAAAAACACCUCCAUUGGAGAUGAAGAAGACAUACGACUCUCAGAAGGUGGUGAAGAGUACAAAAUACUUGGGAAUCAAAUCCAUAUUGUGGAGAAAAUGAUGAAGCUACUGUUUUUUGGGUUUGUACUUCUUGUUGUAGUAGUUUUUUUUGGUUGGGUGUAAGAUGUAGCUGAUGUGGUAGAUGAUGGCAUUUUGGACUCGUUUUACUGUUUGGUGAUGAAGUAUGUAGAAUGUUAAUGCAGUUGGUAUGGUGUUGAACAAUUUGGUGCAAUUUAAUGCUAACAACAUCUUGUAUUUGCUCUGUUUGUACUUUGGCUAAUGAUGCUAACAAAUGAAUGUGGUGCCAAGAAUAAACUGAAAAAUUUGCAACGUACCAAAAACCUUCAUAUAACAGUAAAGAAGGCUAUUGAGUAGCAGUAUCUGUUACAUAAAAAAGAUCAUUUGUUAUAGCACAAAUGUAUCCACAACAUAUCCACAAAAAGACCUAGAUAUUACAUCAAAACAUGCAUCAACUAGCUAAUUCCCAGCUUGAGUCCUGCUUUCUUGAGUUGAGGGCCCUUCUUUGGCUCCUGUCACAUUACUUUGGGAAGAAGACACAUUUUCUUGUUGCAAUGUGGUCCUUCUGGUACCCUACAAGUAUUGAUAUUCACAUUUUUAGUAAUCAACAAAUGAUAUAACAAAUGAGAAAUUUGCAAUUCAUUUGAAAUACUUACUCUCCUCUGGCUUGUUUGCUCUUGUUGACUAGAUGUUCCUUCCUGCCUACUUUUCUUAGGCUUUGGAGGUUGGAUUGGAUGAAUUCUAGGCCUGCCUCUUUUUCCCUGUUUCCAGUUGAAGAAAGAGUAUGUAAACAAAUAGCUGUAAAUAAAGAAUAAGUAAACAAAGACUUGGAGCAGUCAAAUACCUUGGGUUUAGGUGGUGCCUUCUCAUUCUUACAAGUCUUCAUGUUGUGACCCUUUUGCUGACAGUUUCAACAUGUCAUUACCAAACCAAACCUCUUCAAUUUGUGUUGAUUUUUGGGAUCUUCUUUAGGAUCUCUUCUCCUCACUUUCUUGGGUCUACCUGGCAUCUUCCUAACCAGUGGAGGCUUCACAACAUAUCCAUCAGCCUCCGGCCACAUCUCCUCACUGACCAAAGGCUCUAUGGCAUACUUGUAUGCUUCUAGAUACCUUUCUACAGUGUAGUAAGCAUGCACAUAUGCAGAUGGCUCCUCACCCUCAAAUUGCAGGGCAGCACAUCCAUGAAGACAUGGUAUUCUUGUGAAAUCCCAUUCCCUACAUGUGCAACUUCUUGCAUUCUCAUACUCUUCAUCAUCUGAGACAAGCUCAUCAUCACCCAACUCAUCAUCAGAUGAUUCACCACCUAGAGGGAUAUAAUCUGAAUCUUCAGAUUCAUCAUCAUGAAAAUCCUCAUUCUCUCAAUCUUCAUUAACUUCACCAUCACCCUCUGCAUUAAGUUCAUCCUCACCAUCACCACCCCAGUCACCCUUAUAUAUGUUGUCACUCUCAUAACCUGUCAAUUCAUCAUACCCAGAAUCAUCCUCACCAUCAUCACCCACUGACUUCCUACCCUCACCAUCAUCACCCACUGGCUUCCUACCAUCAAUCUUCCCACCCUCACUUGCCUUACUACUACUCUCACCAUCAACUUUCUUAGCAGAAGCAUCCACACUCGAAAUAACCCCACCAUCAACAUAAACAUGUAAAACCCUGAUAUAUGGAUUAAGGCAAGAAAGCAUAUCCAUGCAAUUUUUAUCAUCUUGCAGGACAUGAAACGACUGACUUCUAGGAAUUUGAUAGCACAAUUUCCCCCAAGUAGCAUAUCCCAGAUUUCUAACUAUUUCUUCAACAUCGAAAUACCCAAACCUAUUGAUCAUGUUUGAAGCUUUCCUCACAUUCACCCCCAACAUACACUUCUUUACAAUCAAAAUGCACAAAUCUACCACCAUGAUGAAUGUAAACUCCAAAUCACUUCAAUCUUCACCGAUUCAACAACAUAAGUGAAACGCUGCCAAAUUUGUACUAGCUAAACCAAACCUCUCCAAAGUUUGAAUCGAAGAAGAGAAUCACAAAGCCAAAAAUCAGUCAAUGCUGAUUACAUAUAUUCUCUUAACUUAGGCAAAUAUUGUUUAUCCAAAGCCUAGGUAAAACUAACUGCAAAGAACUUGUUCUUUGUAGUCUAGUUGGCAAGUUUUCAAACCUCUAUUCAACCAGCCGAAUUGAAUUUUUGCCAAAAGGUGUUUGUCUCCGUAGGUCCUAGUGCCCUGUGUGUGCUAGGAGUGAGAAAUCCAACAAGGUGUGUUGGUACUGAAGAUUGGAUCUUCAGUCGUCUCGAUUGUGUGUACCCGCAAGCACACGUUCAGGUUUGUUGUGCACCCGUAAGCACGAGCAUCGGUUUGCAGUGCACCCGUAAGCACUUGCCCAGUGAAGUUGUUGGUCUGAUCAACCGAUCGUGGAUGUAGGAAGUGUUUCCGAAUCACGUAAAAAUCUAUGUGUUAUUUACAGCUUUCAGUACUUACAUUUCUACUUCUGCUCUUACCUUCAUAGACUGAAAACUGACUAAUCGCAAAGAGAAACCUAACGACUGACAACUUGUUUAAUACACAGGCAAUUUCGAAACAAAGGUUUUCCGCUGCGUGUGUUAUCAGUCUAACUGAUCUAUCUUCUGAUAGUCAGUAAGAUUCAUACAUAUCUCUGUUUAUCAAACUCGACUGAAGCCUUAUGUGUAUAAGUUAAAGUCUUUGACUUAACUGAUAACUCCUUACUGAAGAGUAUUCAGUAUCAGUCGUCAACCCUGUUUGGUCAAAACUCUUUUCAGUAAACAGGUUGAGUCAGUUUGUGUUUGAAGUUUCGUUUUAACUCGGAUAAAAAUAGCCUAUAGGUGUAUUCCCCCCAUACACCUAUUCGAGACCCUCCGGACCUAACAAUAUGUAUAUAAUAUACUAUAUAUUAGUUAUUUAUCUACAAAUUUAUAUUAAUAUAAAGUUGACCUUUAAAAAAAUAUUUUUAAGCUAAAGAUUUCUAAAAUGAACAAAUAUAAGUUUCAUCAUUGUAAUUGCAUUAAACUGAUAUAAUAAAAAUAUAAAUAGUAAAAUAUAAAAAAUACUGAUCUAUAGUAAAAACAUAAAAAAAAUAAAAUAAAAAUAAUGGAAAAAGGAAUAGAAAGAACCUACAUUUUAAAAAUGAGAAAUGAGAGCGGAAUGAUAGAGGAGGAAGAGAGAGGAGAGAGAGAAAAAAUAUUUGUGACUUUAAAUUAUAAUAACAUAUUGGUUUUAAAUUUAUUUUUUUAUAAUUUUUACAUCAAAUUAAAGAUAUCGUCAUUAUCUUUAAUUUAACAUCAUAUUAAUAUUUUUUAUAAAUUAAAGUUGAUGAUUUUAAAAGAGAAUCAAAACUACAAAAAGAAAAAUAAAGAGAUAAAUUUUGGUGGGAAAAAGUUUACGUUUAACUCCUCUUUUAUACUCCCUCCGUCCCAUUGGGCUUGUCCCAUUUGAUUUCGGCACGGUUAUUAAAGAGAGUAUUAGUAGUGUUAAGUGUGGAGAUAAAAUAGGAGAGAGAAAGUGAUAAAGUGAUGAAAUAGGAGUACUAUUUAUAGAAAUGAGACAAGAUCAGUGGGACAAACAAAAAAGGAAUACGGGACAAGAUCAAUGGGACGAAGGGAGUAUUAUAUAUAGAUUAGGGGUGAGCAUUCUGAUUUUGGAUCGAAAUUUUGCCUAAUCUGAUCCGAAAAUUCCCUAAAAUUCAAUCCGAUCCGAACCAUAUUAUCUGUAAAUUCAAAUCCGAAAUUCUAAAAAAAUUAGGAUAAAAUCCUAUCCGAAUCGAAAAAUCCAAAAUUUUAAAAGAAAUUUGAAAUGUGAAAAAAGAAAAUUAGAAAAUCGAAUAAAUUCGAACAAUCCGAAAUGCAUAUCAAUCUAACCAAUUAGAUAAUUAAGAUCGAAUUAAGAUCAUAAUUGAAAAAUCAUUAAUUAUAAUCAAUCAAUAUGAGAGUAUAGAGUUAGAAUUUAGAAAUAUUUAACUAUUUAAGAACUAAUAAUUAUAUAUAUUUAUAUAUAAUAUAACAAAAUUAUUUAUAUUAUAAAUAUAAUUCGAAUUUUGAAUUUUUUCGAAUUUUAAAAGUAUCAAUCUGAUCCGAAAACCCGAAAUUUGCUUAAAAGUUAAUCCAAUCCGAUUCGAAAAUUCAAAAAAUUUGAACCAAACUUUAAAUUUCAAUUUGACUCGAAAUGGAUAUUCAGAUUUCAGAUAUUUUCCUCACUCCUAAUUAAAAUGAGUUUAAAAUUAAAUACUCCCUCCGUCCCAAUAAUCUUAUCACGCUUUCCUUUUUGGUUUGUCCUAUUUCCUUUUUUGGUAAUAAUUAGAACAUGUUAAGCAUUCACUUAAUCCACCUAGCUAUAUGUACCUACUAACCUACUCUCUCUCUAUCCUAAUUAACGCAUUCCCAUCCCUCUUAUCUCUGAGCUCUCUUUCUAAACCCAUCUCUCCUACCCUCUGGACUCUCUCUCUCUCUAUCUCUCCGUCGGAAAUAAGACAGCACAACGCCUCUCCCUCAUCCUCACGGCGGAACAGCCGCCGCCUCAACACCACGGCCGAUGCCCCUUGUUCUACCUUCUCUAUCUCUUUCUUACACACUAAUGAGCCCAUGUUCGUGCUCUUUUUUUCGUGUCUGUUUUAGGUCUACAUUGAGUCUUUUACCCUUUUUUUGUUAGAGUCAGUCGCCUGGGAGGGAGUAGUUCCAAGGCAGCCCGUUCUUUGGGCAGAAGGUGCUUUUAAGGCAUGCAUGUUACAUUCCGCGAAAGAGGCAUGGGUUUGAAGCAGAGGAGUUUGGGACACUCAAAAGCUUAUUUUGAAGACAAAAAGUUUGAGAAGCAGGAAGUUGGGCAAACCGACCUUUUCCCCAUUGAUAAAUUCAAUAAUUACACCCCUUUAUUCAUGGAGAAAGUGAUUCACCUGUAGUGUGCAAUGAAUCGAAAAAAUGGUGAAAUCGUUAAGGUAAGAGAGAAAAAAAGUUUUAUUGUAUAUAUAUUAUGAAUAGCGUAUGUUACAAGUGUGGCCGCGUCCCCUAUUUAUAGGCUUUACAAUGGGGGUAAGUUGGUAAUUUUACAUUUGAUAAUGGCCCUGGUAGUUAGGAAGAAUCUUUGGUAAAAGUUGUCAGUAGCCGGCACGCCUUCAGCCCUUCCCAGCGCUGCCCGAGUCCGCCAGCUCUGAAGUUUUCUUCCUAGAUACGUCAGCCAUGCCCGAGUCCGCAGGUUACUUCUUCGCUGUUUUAUUCCAGAUCUGUCAUUCUUCCUUUCUGAUCAUGUUAGCCCUAGCUCCUUAAGUGGCAGAAUUCUCUCGAAAUGCCCUGAAGCUUUAUCCUUCGAGCUUUACGCAAAGGAUACUAUUCAAGUUCAUUUCCUCUUUGGGUUGCAGGGCUUAACCUCAUCAGCUCUUCCCAAUUUGCCUUACACUUAUUUUACUCCUCAUCACCCAUAAGUACCGCGCGGGAUCCAGUUGCACUGAAAGAAGGUCCUGGGCAUAAUGUGAUUUCGGUUCGGGAAAGAAGUAUGAGCACAGAUAUAAAGCCAAUUGGAGCUUGAAGCAGCAGAUUACAAAAGCUUAAAUGAAGUUUGGAAUUGCUCAAGUCAACAUAGCGCUUUGCCCAUAAGCACUGCAUGAGAUCCAGUUACAUCAGAAGAUGACGAGGGCAAAGGUACAGACGGGGCAGAGAAGAAGAGUGCAGGAUAUGAAGUACAUAAAUUCGUGUUGAGGGUAAUAAAGGCAAUGCAAUCUGAUCAGAAGAUGUAGAUAAUGAAAGAAAUCCAAAAACCUUAUCCUUUGAGGUUUGGAUAAGAACAAAUCAGCUUGCAGAUCUGGAAGCAAUUUUUGGCAGAAGAAGCCUUAAUUCGAGCCCACUCUUUUGGGCCAGCCUUGCGUAGUCCUAACUCAUGCCUAUAAAUACCACAUAGAUGUGAACCAUUCAAGAGUUGAGAGGACACACCAAUGAGGCACCAAUUUAGAGACCACUAUUGUAGUUUUACUUUCCAUAGUUAGGGAGGAGCACUCGCCCCUUAUGGGUAUAGUAGUUUAGUUUUCUGUUCAUGUAUUCUGCGGCACUUUUGGCCGCAAGUACUCUUUGCCUUUAGUAAUUUCAAUUCAGUACUUUGUCUUUAUGUUUUUCAUUAUGUCUUUUGCCUUUGUUAUUUCUUUUAUGUCUAGCUAAUUUUAUAUUCUAAUUUGGGCGAGAUAAGCUGAACAUGAACACUUAACUCGAUAGGUCUAAUUUGGGCAUAGUAACUGCAUGAGUAUAUUCCCGAUACACUAGGUUUGAUUAAAAUACGGUUUGGGCAACUUGGUUAAUUAAUUGAUCACUAGUUAACUAGGGAGUUCUAACCACAAGUAACCUUUGGGCAAAGGCGAGACGCUAUCGACCUCCGAAGAGUACAACUGGUGUUGGAGUCGUGACUAGUGGUGAAAUAUUCCAUGUAAGGGUCAAGUUGGGUCUAUCUCAAUCCGAAUGCAUCUUGGCCAAAUCACUCUUAGCGAGAGGCCAACGUAGAGAGUGGAUGUUGUCUGGGGUAGUUAACUUCCAUUAGCUGAUAACUUCUAGGUGGUUAUAUACUGAAAGGAUAGAUUGGGCAGAGGGCUGUUACAUGCGUGGCACGUGACAAUUGGGGGCAUAGUUGUCUUUUGCCUAUAACCAACUGGUAUGCUAGUGUAGUGAAUUAUCUUUGCACCAAUGACUCAGUGCCUAGUUCAUGUUUAAUGAAUCGAACCCAAGUCAGAAUUAUUUUGUUAUUUGAUCAAGUUACUUUUGUUAUUUCGGUUUGGUCCAAAACCCUAUUCUGCCCAUAAGAAAGUUGUGGUAAGAACCAUCAGAAACAAAACCCUUUUUAGUGACACCCUUGCAGGAGAGAUUACUGCUCAGUUCCCUGUGGAUUCGACUCUAGACUUAUUGCUAGCUAACCUAGUUGUGGGCAUAGGAUAAAUUUAUUUGCGCGAAGCUCAAAUGAUGGCUUCGUCACACACACACACAAGGACAUGGCCUACGCCGCGCCGUCGCACCGUCGUCACCCCUCCUGCUUCAUCUUCGGUCAGAGCCACCGCCGCGCGCCUGUAGCAGGUAAAACCCUAACUUUAUUUACUUUCUUUUCCUUAUUCUCGUUUCACUUUUAUGUAAAAUUAAAAAAUAAAAAUCCUCUCUCUAUUUUGCUCUUUCAUUUUCGAUAGAACGGAACACGACAACGACGUAUCUGCCGCCAUCGCGUUGCCGCUGUCCGCCGUGCUUCUCCGCUGUUCGUCUGCCUAGGUAACCUUUGUUUCUUUUUCUAUUUCCCCUUUUUUAAUUAAAACUGAAAUCCCCCCCUUCCUUUGAUUUUUGGCAGACCAGAGACAAUGGCAGGUCUACCGUCGUCGCUCCAUCGCCGAAGGGGAUAGAAAUUGGGAAUUUGUCUUCUGCCAUCAUUUCAGUUCGUUGAGUGGGAAGAAAUUGAGGAUAUAAAUUAAGGCUUGCACGCAGGUGUGACUCCAUCUGCUGUUGUCGUCGACGGAGUUAGAGGGAGGGAAAGUAAUUCGGAGGGGAGGUGAGUGGCGAACCGAGAGGAUAACAGAGAGGGAGGUCAGAGAGUGAUGAAAGAGAGACAUGUUUGGUGAUGAGGUUCAGCUUGAGGAGAGGAAAACAAGGAUAAUUAAGUUAUACUUAAUUUAUUUUUAAAUAUGCGGGACUUUUUAGUUUAUAACACUAAUUUAAUACUCAUUAAUAAUUGUGCCCAAAAAAAAUGAGACAAGAUUACUAGAACCGAAGAAGUAUUUGAUAGUAAAAAAAUCCGAACUUAACAUAGGAAUUACCAAGGCGAAUAAGAAGGAAGGUCCUCUUGAAAUUCCAUAGUGAUAUUCCUAGAAAGAGAAACCUUAAUAAAGGAUGAGAGAGAGAGACGCGUAGAGUGAUGGGUAGGGGCCACGCGUCGUAGAGAAAGUGGAUAGCACAAAGAAAUGUCGGCCCAUCUGAGUACGGAUAAUCCGAGGCGGCUGAAGGCGGCUUUUUAUUACAUUAGAUUAACACCACAAUAACUACAUUCCAAAAACCAAUAUGGGCGGCCUACUACUGCCGCAUCUUUGACCCCCCUCUCUUAAUUUGCUUAUUCUAGUGCUAGAAAUGACGACUCUUUUACUAAUUGCCGGCGCAUCACCUCUCUUCGGUACCCUUAUCUUCCGCCACGUUUAUCUUACCUUUUCACCAUGCAAUAGAGGGCCCCUAUAAUUAUGUUGCAAUUUUUUUGACAUUAAUUUUAAUAAAAAAAUUAUUGAAUGCAAAAGAGGGCCCCUAUAAUUAUGUUGGAAAAUUUUUGACGUUAAUUUUAAUCAAAAAUUAUAGAACAGUUUUAAUUUUGGAGAAAAAGUUACAUAAUGAGCUACUGUUAAUUUGAUUUUAGGUAAUAAACAUAAAUUAUAAAGGUAAAAUUAUUUAAAUUAUAUGCAAAAUAAUAUCUAAAAAUAAUAUAUAUAUAUAUAUAUAUAUAUAUAUAAGUAGAGCGCUCCAAUGACGUACCCUUUAUUUUUAGUGAGAUCUUAGACACGAUCUCGUGUCGUUUUAUUUUAUACAAUCUUAUGGCGGACAAUGUACCUAGAGGAUGAAUUUUUUCUCAGGGUUCGAAUCCUGGAGAGAGUGAAAUAUUUUAAAUUCAUUAUUCAUCAGUAUAUACUGCAUUGUUCAUCAAUAUAUACGGCCUUGUUCAUCAGUAUAUAUGUCUUAUUCAUUACCAAUUUUUUAAGUUCGUUAUUCAUCUGUAUAUACUGUCUUGUUCAUCACUAUAUAUCGUCUUAUUCAUUGAAAAAUAUGCGUAUCAGUGUCUCACGAAAAAUAAGGGUCUCACUAUGGCUCACCCAUAUAUAUAUAUAUAUAUCCCUAUAUAUAUAUAUAGUAGGGNUCCAACAAUUAGACAAUGACCAGGGAAAAAAAUAAGAAUGCAGAUUAGAGCUAAAGACUAGAUCUUGUGUUUCCAAAUUUCUUCAACGAAUUAGAGCCGAAUCUGCCGCUCCACCGCCGCAGCGCCGCCCAUCGUCAUCCAGGUAUGCAUAAUCAUCUACCUACAACAAAAUUCCCCAGACAAAAAAUUGCACACCAAAAGGAUUCUCCCAAAAUUCCCAAAUUCCAGAUCUGAAUUUUUAGGGCUUGAGUUGAUGGGGAAGAGUCGAGGGAGUCAGGGAUUGAGGCGGUUCUAAUUGAUGUUACCCGGAGGAUUAGGCUCGUAAAAGGAGGUGGCGAUGGUGUGGCUGGUUGGGGGCUCCGGCGAGUAGUCGGGCAGGACGUCUGGGACAGCGGCGAUGCUUCGAGAUCUGGGUCGUUUGGUCUGUUCAGGGGGAGAAGAGGGAGCGACUCAGGCAGAAUCAGAGGUGGUGGUGAUGGUGGUUCGUCGCGGCGGUGAUGAUAGUUGAUGGUCGCUACUUCAGAUCGAUGGAGAAGGGGGCGGCGGCGAUUGUCGCCGCUCGCCGUUGAAAUAGAGAGGGAGAUGAGGAUUUUGAUGGUGAAAAUCGUGACGGCCCGACGAUCUUGCUGGUCCUCCGACGAUUUAGGGAGGAGGAAGAAAGGAGGUGCAGUGGUGGCGGCUGUAUCGGCAGAGGUAGAGGGAGGUUUGAUGCUCCAAAAUCUGUAAAUGAGAGAGA
RNAcentral lists this long non-coding RNA (22729 nucleotides) under Salvia miltiorrhiza (redroot sage). Its description in RNAcentral is "long non-coding RNA (SMIL_LNC001551)". The record is from RNAcentral. Lineage: Eukaryota; Viridiplantae; Streptophyta; Magnoliopsida; Lamiales; Lamiaceae.